GGGCUGUAGCUCAGUUGGGAGAGCGUCGCGUUCGCAAUGCGAAGGUCAGGGGUUCGAAUCCCCUCAGCUCC
This 71-nucleotide transfer RNA is filed under the name marine eukaryotic metagenome. It matches the Rfam family "tRNA". Rfam says of the family: Transfer RNA (tRNA) molecules are approximately 80 nucleotides in length. Their secondary structure includes four short double-helical elements and three loops (D, anti-codon, and T loops). The record is from RNAcentral.